UACGCAUUCAAAUUUUCAUUCCAAUUUCGAUUUUGAUUCCGAUUUCGAUCACGAACCAAACGCUUCGGAAGAUUCGGCUAUUCCAAUUCUGAUUCCAAGCCAUUCUGAUUUAUAUUCUUAUUCCGAUUUCGAUUACGAAUCCAACACUCCCUAAAAAUAGUUGAUCGAAGAAAAAUGAAUCUGAAAAAGAGAAUCAAAUGUAAUAUUUUAGAACAUGGAAAUUAAC
RNAcentral lists this long non-coding RNA (226 nucleotides) under Elaeis guineensis (African oil palm). RNAcentral's name for it is "long non-coding RNA (EGUI_LNC023783)". Lineage: Eukaryota; Viridiplantae; Streptophyta; Magnoliopsida; Arecales; Arecaceae. The record is from RNAcentral.